AGUUUGACUGGCUCAGAUUGAACGCUGGCGGGAUGCUUUUUGCCACAUGCAAGUCGAACGGCAGCACGGACUUCGGUCUGGUGGCGAGUGGCGAACGGGUGAGUAAUGUAUCGGAACGUGCCUAGUAGCGGGGGGAUAACUACGCGAAAGCGUAGCUAAUACCGCAUAACGCCCUUCGGGGAAAGCGGGGACCUUCGGGCCUCGCACUAUUAGAGCGGCCGAUAUCGGAUUAGCUAAGUUGGUGGGGUAACGGCUCACCAAGGCGACGAUCCGUAGCUGGUUUGAGAGGACGACCAGCCACACUGGGACUGAGACACGCCCAGACUCCUACGGGAGGCAGCAGUGGGGAAUUUUGAGCAAUGGGGGAAACUCCUGAUUCAGCCAUCCCGCGUGUGCGAUGAAGGCCUUCGGGUUGUAAAGCACUUUGGCAGGAAAGAAACGGCACGGGAUAAUACCCCGUGCAACUGACGGUACCUGCAGAAUAAGCACCGGCUAACUACGUGCCAGCAGCCGCGGUAAUACGUAGGGUGCAAGCGUUAAUCGGAAUUACUGGGCGUAAAGCGUGCGCAGGCGGUUCGGAAAGAAAGAUGUGAAAUCCCAGAGCUUAACUUUGAACUGCAUUUAAUCACUGAGCUAGAGUGUGUCAGAGGAGGUGGAAUUCCGGUGUAGCAGUGAAAUGCGUAGAUAUGCGGAGGAACACCGAUGGCGAAGGCAGCCUCCUGAUAACACUGACGCUCAUGCACGAAAGCGUGGGGAGCAAACAGGAUUAGAUACCCCGGUAGUCCACGCCCUAAACGAUGUCAACUAGCUGUUGGGGCCUUCGGGCUCGGUAGCGCAGCUAACGGGGUGUGAAGCUGACCGCCUGGGGAGUACGGUUUCGCAAGAUUAAAACUCAAAGGAAUUGACGGGGACCCGCACAAGCGGUGGAUGAUGUGGACAAUUUACGCAACGCGAAAAACCUUACCUACCUUUGACAUGUUCGGAAUCCCCGAAGAGAUUUGGGAGUGCUCGGAAAAGAGAACCGGAACACAGGUGCUGCAUGGCUGUCGUCAGCUCGUGUCGUGAGAUGUUGGGUUAAGUCCCGGCAACGAGCGCAACCCUUGUCAUUAGUUGCUACGAAAGGGCACUCUAAUGAGACUGCCGGUGACAAACCGGAGGAAGGUGGGGAUGACGUCGUCCUCAUUUUAUGGGUAGGGCUUCACACGUCAUACAAUGGUCGGGACAGAGGGUCGCCAAAUCCGCGAGGGGAGCCAAUCCCAGAAACCCGAUCGUGUCCGGAUCGCAGUCUGCAACCUGACUGCGUGAAGUCGGAAUCGCUAGUAAUCGUGACUAUCAGCAUGUCGCGGUGAAUGGCCGUUCCCGGUUCUGUACACACUGCCCGUCACACCAUGGGAGUGGGUUUUCAACAGAAGUAGUUAGCCUAACCUCGUAAGGAGGGCGAUUACCACGGUAGGAUUCACAUCAGUGAAGUCGUAACAAGGCAGCUCUGUUACUACCUGAUAGCAACACGCAACUGUUCCGAAGUAUACU
Molecule: ribosomal RNA, 1530 nt
Filed under: uncultured Bordetella sp.
Lineage: Bacteria; Pseudomonadati; Pseudomonadota; Betaproteobacteria; Burkholderiales; Alcaligenaceae
Description: partial 16S-23S ribosomal RNA intergenic spacer
Rfam family: Bacterial small subunit ribosomal RNA
Source: RNAcentral